UGGGGAAUAUUGCGCAAUGGGCGAAAGCCUGACGCAGCGACGCCGCGUGAGGGAUGAAGGUUUUCGGAUCGUAAACCUCUGUCAGAAGGGAAGAAACCGCACUGUGCUAAUCAGCAGUGCCUUGACGGUACCUUCAAAGGAAGCACCGGCUAACUCCGUGCCAGCAGCCGCGGUAAUACGGAGGGUGCAAGCGUUAAUCGGAAUUACUGGGCGUAAAGCGCACGUAGGCUGCUUUGUAAGUCAGGGGUGAAAUCCCACGGCUCAACCGGGGAACUGCCUUUGAUACUGCUUAGCUUGAAUCCGGGAGAGGGUGGCGGAAUUCCAGGUGUAGAGGUGAAAUCCGUAGAUAUCUGGAGGAACAUCAGUGGCGAAGGCGGCCACCUGGACCGGUAUUGACGCUGAGGUGCGAAAGCGUGGGGAGCAAACAGG
This 429-nucleotide ribosomal RNA is filed under the name Fusobacteriota bacterium. RNAcentral's name for it is "Fusobacteria bacterium partial 16S ribosomal RNA". It matches the Rfam family "Bacterial small subunit ribosomal RNA", at positions 355 to 776 of the family's 1533-position model. The record is from RNAcentral. Lineage: Bacteria; Fusobacteriati; Fusobacteriota.